GGACUGGGAGCUGUUUGGGCUUGGUUUGGAAGCAAAGCAGAGAUUUGUCUACUCAUGUACUCAAGAGUUUAUUUUGUGCAAACCUGUGAGGUGGUGAUGGGCCUAGACUUCAUAAGCUGUGUAUUUGGGGAGUGCAGCACAUGAGGAGAGCAGCACUGACUGACUGAGAGCAGAUGAUGCUGUUGCAGAGAGGCUGCUCUGGAGAACACACAGUAAUGUUUUGUUCCUGAAAAACUGAUGGAAGAUGUUGAAGAAAUGAUGAUUUUACAAAGAAGAAGAAAAGGGGGAUGGGGUGUGAAGGCAGGGAAAAGAAAAGACACCUUUCUUGAAAUUCUAGAGAUGAUGCCACUGCCACUAUGGGACCAUAGCACAGCAAAUGUGUAAAGAGCAAUUUCUUUAUUCCCAAGACUCUUGGCAUCUCUUUUCCUUUAACUACAUCAACCUGAGCAGAGCAGGUGGGGGUAUGGGUUGGCUUCCCAUGCUUUGAUGGAUGAAGACUGAAGGAAACAUCAUCAAAGGCUCCACACAUUUUCAGGUACCCCAGUGAGAUGAGGAGCUGUGGAAUAAAGCUUUGUUGUGCUGUGCAGUGAAGAGGAGCUCCACAGGGUGCUUCAGGGUUCUGAAUGCUUUCUUGCCUCCUUCUUCAGGCGCAGGAAAGGAGUCUUUCCUUCAGUGUUACUCGGGCCAGAUCCAUACAGACCUGGCACCAGCCUGAUGAGGCACCAGCAGUGCCAGGACAUGCUGCAGCUUUCUCCAGCAUCAGAACUGCGUCAAGGCCCCAUUUUUCUUGUCUUGGCUGCAUCGUGUAUUGGGCUAAGCCUGGUAAGAAUGAAACAUUGUUUACAGAGUUUACAGAAUGUCCUGAUUUGGAAGGAACCCACAAGAAUCAUCAAGCUCCUGUGUGAAUGGCCCAUACAGGAUUGAAUCUAUGACCUUGGCAUUGUCGGUGCCAUACUCUAAUUUGUCUUCCCCUUAGGAAUCUUCUAGCUCUAAGAAAAGCAGGUUUGUUCAGAAGAAGCAAUUGAACUAGCGGCUUUAUACAGAAACCUUGGAUUGUCAGGGCUUGGGAGGUUUGGAGUGUAAGCUGUGAAGAAUGUGGGC
RNAcentral lists this long non-coding RNA (1101 nucleotides) under Cyanistes caeruleus (blue tit). RNAcentral's name for it is "lncRNA (ENSCCEG00000019015.1)". The record is from RNAcentral. Lineage: Eukaryota; Metazoa; Chordata; Aves; Passeriformes; Paridae.